GGCUCGUUGGGAGUUUUCCUGGCAUCAUAUUGAUGUAUAAAGGAGAUGUAUUCUACAAAAUUGUCUUCAUGUUCUCCUGAUGAGCUCAGACAGGUACACAUGGAGAAGGCAUGUGACGUUCUCGGGGAGGUGACUGGUUCUUCCCAAAUACACAAACAGAGCUUAGAUGCCCAGUUCUCCACCAGAAAAGCUCCAGGUUACUGCUCUAACCAAGCAGUAACCACUGGUUACAACGGCACCACUUUGAGAUGCAUCAUGUCCUUUAAAUAGACUGUGACCAAACUGUCCUGCAAAACAGCUUCUGAGUCUAACUGUAUUUGUACAUAGCAAACAUCUGUCCAACCUGCUUUGCUGGUCCUUUAUGAUCAAUGUAGGGAACUGGCUCAUUGUAUGUUCUUGCAUUUGUGUUAAUGAAUUUAGCAUAAUCUACACGUCUUCUGUCCACACUGGGUUUUGAGUGUUGUGUGCUUUUUCCAAGACUUUUUUCAUGUUUGAUUUCUUCUUUGUUUUCAGUUAUGCAUGCUAUACCAGCAUCUUCUACUUUAUAGUGUCUGAAAAACAUAAUUAAGUAGUAAAUUAUUUAUCACAA
Molecule: long non-coding RNA, 589 nt
Organism: Mesocricetus auratus (golden hamster)
Lineage: Eukaryota; Metazoa; Chordata; Mammalia; Rodentia; Cricetidae
Exons: 2
Source: RefSeq, a predicted model, not a curated record